GACGAACGCUGGCGGCGUGCUUAACACAUGCAAGUCGAACGGAAAGGCCUCUUUCGGGGGGUACUCGAGUGGCGAACGGGUGAGUAACACGUGAGUAACCUGCCCUUGACUUUGGGAUAACUUCAGGAAACUGGGGCUAAUACCGGAUAGGAGCUCCUGCUUCAUGGUGGGGGUUGGAAAGUUUCGGCGGUUGGGGAUGGACUCGCGGCUUAUCAGCUUGUUGGUGGGGUAGUGGCUUACCAAGGCUUUGACGGGUAGCCGGCCUGAGAGGGUGACCGGCCACAUUGGGACUGAGAUACGGCCCAGACGCCUACGGGAGGCAGCAGUGGGGAAUAUUGCACAAUGGGUGGAAGCCUGAUGCAGCAACGCCGUGUGCGGGAUGACGGCCUUCGGGUUGUAAACCGCUUUCGCUCAUGACGAAGCUUUGUGUGACGGUAGUGGGUAAAGAAGCACCGGCUAACUACGUG
This 467-nucleotide ribosomal RNA is filed under the name uncultured bacterium. RNAcentral's name for it is "partial 16S ribosomal RNA". It matches the Rfam family "Bacterial small subunit ribosomal RNA", at positions 28 to 507 of the family's 1533-position model. The record is from RNAcentral.